RNAcentral lists this ribosomal RNA (449 nucleotides) under uncultured bacterium. RNAcentral describes it as "bacterial SSU rRNA". It matches the Rfam family "Bacterial small subunit ribosomal RNA", at positions 355 to 825 of the family's 1533-position model. The record is from RNAcentral.
UCAAGAAACUUCCACAAUGGGCGAAAGCCUGAUGGAGCGACGUCGCGUGAUGGACGAAGUGCUUCGGCACGUAAACAUCUUUUAUGUGGGAUGAAAUUAUUGACAGUACCACAUGAAUAAGGGGCUCCUAACUCUGUGCCAGCAGGAGCGGUAAUACAGAGGCCCCAAGCGUUAUCCGGAAUCACUGGGCGUAAAGGGUGUCGAGGCGGUUGUAUUAGUCGUUCGUAAAAUCUACGAGCUUAACUUGUAGGCGGCGAACGAAACGGUACGACUUGAGGUUUGGAGAGGUGCGUGGAACUCACGGUGUAGGGUGAAAUCCGUUGAUAUCGUGGGGAACACCAAAGGCGAAGGCAGCGCACUGGCCAAAAUCUGACGCUCACACACGAAAGCUAGGGUAGCGAAGAGGAUUAGAUACCCACGUAGUCCCUGAGCGGGCUGGCAAGGCGCAU